This 86-nucleotide transfer RNA is filed under the name Gammaproteobacteria bacterium. RNAcentral describes it as "tRNA-Leu". The record is from RNAcentral. RNAcentral also lists the same sequence under 1 other name. Lineage: Bacteria; Pseudomonadati; Pseudomonadota; Gammaproteobacteria.
GCCGAGAUGGUGAAAUUGGUAGACACAAGGGACUUAAAAUCCCUCGGACAUAUAUGUCCAUCCCGGUUCGAGCCCGGGUCUCGGUA